AAAAUAUUUUACUUUAGAUACAGUAGAAAGCACUUUUUAAUGCAUACAAAGUAAUUUCAUAGUUUCUGUGGCUUACUAUGAAAAGAAAACAAGUUCCCAAGCUUUGAGCAUGUCUUUGAGCUAGCAGUGAUCAAGCAGCUGCUGCAAAUCAGUGAGGAAAAGGGGACUGACUAGUGAGACCUUCCCCAAGGGGAUGAAAUCACUUACUUGGCAGACACACCCUAAGGUAACCCCCAGUGAGUCAUGUCCUUAUAUAAUCCUUUUUCCUUGAGUUCAGGAAGUACCUGUGACUUGCAAUGUGCCAAAGGUGAUGGUAUCAUCUCUGCCAUGGUUAUGUUGUUAUCUAAGACUCCACCUUAGAUGACUAGAGAGUCACCCACUGGCACCAGCUGCCAUGUCAUGACAGCUGGUGGCAGGAACUGCAGGCAGCCUCUAAAGCUGAGAGCAGCCUCAACUGACAGCCAGGAAGAAAGCAGGGACCUUUGUGCUUCAACUGCAGGAAGUGAAUUCUUCCAUCAACCAUGCGACACUGGGAGAGAACCCCAUGCUCUGGAUAGGAACAUAGCCCAGCCAACACCUUGACUGCAGCCCUGUGAGACCCUAAGCAGAGGACCUAGCUAAGCUGUGCCCAGAAUCCUGACCCAAGGAAACUGUGAGAUAAUAAAUAUCUGCUGUUUUAAGCUGCUAGGCUUGCGGUGAUUUCUUAUAAAGCAAUAGAGAGUUGAUAAUGAGAUAGACUGGAAGCCAGAGAAUGGGGACCGUUGGGAGAAAAAUGGGGUUGGUGCUGGUAUGUCUAACAAGUAUAUGACACGUUAUGGCUGGGUGCCGUGGCUCAUGCCCGUAAUCCCAGCACUUUGGGAGGCUGAAGCGGGCGGAUCACCUGAGGUCAGGAGAUUGAGGCCAGCCUGACCAAUAUGGUGAAACCUCGUCUCUACCAAAAAUGCAAAAAUGAGCCAGGCUGUGGUGACCAGCGCCUGUAAUCCCAGCUACUCAGGAGGCUAUGACAGGAGAAUCGCUUGAGCCUGGGAGGCGGAGGUUGUGGUGAGCCAAGAUCGUGCCACUGCACUCCAGUCUAGGCAAGUGAGACCCUGUCUCAAAAAAAAAAAAAAGGAAAGAAAACUGAACUCCCACCUGGGCAACAGAGUGAGACUCCGUCUCAAAAACAAAACAAAACAAAACAGAACAAAACAAACCAGGACAAAUACCUUAGAAAGGUCAGAAUACUUUGCAAAGUACUUACACUGUACAAGUCUGGAACAAACCGCGUGCUCACUCCUUACCUGGCAAGGAGUUCAAGGCCAUGCUUGGUCGGACAGCAGCUGAGGCAGGCAGUCACCCCCGAGUCUCCCUUCCAAGGUCACGCCCACCACUCAUGCCCGAUGGGACCACAAUGCAUGCCUUCAUGCUCCACGCCUGCCUUGCAUGCAUGCUUGCACCAAGCCUACAAUGCCGCAUCCACUUUCUUUGCCUAGGCAAAGCCUCAAGUCCAGAUCUUGGCCAUCUCCUCAAGGCUCCUUGUCCCCCGCCUGACUUCACCUAGACUCCAGAGUCAUGCACUCUGAUUGCCCAUGCUCUACAAGCUCUAGUCUUGCUGAAGGGCUAACUCCUCAUUGCCCUCUCUGGUCCCCGUGUCACCGCACUCUCCAAUGUCUGCCUCUCCAAAUAAUGAAUCUCCUUUCAGAACUCACUGCUGCAUUCCCAAGCCCAGCACCAGACCUGGCACAAAAUACAUGUUUAUUGAGUAGAUGACAUUUAAUUUGCGAGAAUGUACUUUUAAAAGUGUCCUGUAAAGCCCGAGCCUGACUGUCUGAUCUCCCACGGCACCCAAUCAGCUGGGCUCCUCUGAGCAGGAAGCGAUGUCAGAUUUAAGUGAGUUUUGUAGGAUCCCUGGGAAAAGCAGAGACAGGUGGCAGGCAGUACAGCCUCAG
RNAcentral lists this long non-coding RNA (1928 nucleotides) under Homo sapiens (human). RNAcentral describes it as "non-protein coding lnc-CILP2-1:1". The record is from RNAcentral. Lineage: Eukaryota; Metazoa; Chordata; Mammalia; Primates; Hominidae.